UACGUAGGGGGCAAGCGUUGUCCGGAAUCAUUGGGCGUAAAGCGCGUGUAGGCGGCCCGGUAAGUCCGCUGUGAAAGUCCAGGGCUCAACCCUGGGAUGCCGGUGGAUACUGUCGGGCUCGAGUCCGGAAGAGGCGAGUGGAAUUCCUGGUGUAGCGGUGAAAUGCGCAGAUAUCAGGAGGAACACCGGUGGCGAAGGCGGUUCUCUGGGAAUGACCUGACGCUGAGGAGCGAAAGCGUGGGUAGCAAACAGG
RNAcentral lists this ribosomal RNA (253 nucleotides) under uncultured bacterium. RNAcentral's name for it is "partial 16S ribosomal RNA". It matches the Rfam family "Bacterial small subunit ribosomal RNA", at positions 524 to 776 of the family's 1533-position model. The record is from RNAcentral.